RNAcentral lists this ribosomal RNA (450 nucleotides) under uncultured bacterium. RNAcentral's name for it is "partial 16S ribosomal RNA". It matches the Rfam family "Bacterial small subunit ribosomal RNA", at positions 354 to 796 of the family's 1533-position model. The record is from RNAcentral.
GUGGGGAAUCUUCCGCAAUGGACGAAAGUCUGACGGAGCAACGCCGCGUGAGUGAAGAAGGUUUUCGGAUCGUAAAGCUCUUUCGUUAGGGACGAACGUGCUCUUUGUGAAUAAUGAGGAGUAAUGACGGUACCUAAAUAAGAAGCCACGGCUAACUACGUGCCAGCAGCCGCGGUAAUACGUAGGUGGCAAGCGUUGUCCGGACUUAUUGGGCGUAAAGCGCGCGCAGGCGGGAUAUCAAGUCUGUCUUAAAAGUGCGAGGCUCAACCUCGUGAGGGGACAGAAACUGGUAUUCUUGAGUGUCGGAGAGGAAAGUGGAAUUCCAAGUGUAGCGGUGAAAUGCGUAGAGAUUUGGAAGAACACCAGUGGCGAAGGCGACUUUCUGGACGAUGUCUGACGCUGAGGCGCGAAAGCUAGGGGAGCGAACGGGAUUAGAUACCCGGGUAGUCC